CCAAUAGCGUAUAUUAAAGUUGUUGCAGUUAAAAAGCUCGUAGUUGAAUUUCGGAAUCUGUCCAUCGGUCGGGCUUCACUGUCCGUACUGGUGUGGUGGGUUCUUACCUUCUGAAUAACCAGCAUGCCAUUCACUUGGUGCGCUGGGGAAGCAGGACUAUUACCUUGAAAAAAUUAGAGUGCUCAAAGUAGGCUAGUGCCUGAAUAUAUUAGCAUGGAAUAAUAAAAUAGGACGGCAUGGUUCUAUUUUGUUGGUUUCUAGGAUCACCGUAAUGAUUAAUAGGGAUAGUUGGGGGCAUUAGUAUUCAAUUGUCAGAGGUGAAAUUCUUGGAUUUAUUGAAGACUAACUUCUGCGAAAGCAUUUGCCAAGGAUGUUUUCAUUAAUCAAGAACGAAAGUUAGGGGAUCGAAGACGAUCAGAUACCGUCGUAGUCUUAACCAUAAACUAUGCCGACUAGGGAUCGGACGAUGUUAAUUUUUUAAUGACUCGUUCGGCGACUUACG
This 502-nucleotide ribosomal RNA is filed under the name uncultured Glomeromycotina. RNAcentral describes it as "partial small subunit ribosomal RNA". It matches the Rfam family "Eukaryotic small subunit ribosomal RNA", at positions 591 to 1092 of the family's 1831-position model. The record is from RNAcentral. Lineage: Eukaryota; Fungi; Glomeromycota.